Molecule: ribosomal RNA, 473 nt
Filed under: uncultured bacterium
Lineage: Bacteria
Description: bacterial SSU rRNA
Rfam family: Bacterial small subunit ribosomal RNA
Source: RNAcentral
UGCAAGUCGAACGGCAGCACGGACUUCGGUCUGGUGGCGAGUGGCGAACGGGUGAGUAAUGUAUCGGAACGUGCCCAGUAGCGGGGGAUAACUACGCGAAAGCGUAGCUAAUACCGCAUACGCCCUACGGGGGAAAGCAGGGGAUCGCAAGACCUUGCACUAUUGGAGCGGCCGAUAUCGGAUUAGCUAGUUGGUGGGGUAACGGCUCACCAAGGCGACGAUCCGUAGCUGGUUUGAGAGGACGACCAGCCACACUGGGACUGAGACACGGCCCAGACUCCUACGGGAGGCAGCAGUGGGGAAUUUUGGACAAUGGGGGAAACCCUGAUCCAGCCAUCCCGCGUGUGCGAUGAAGGCCUUCGGGUUGUAAAGCACUUUUGGCAGGAAAGAAACGUCGUGGGUUAAUACCCCGCGAAACUGACGGUACCUGCAGAAUAAGCACCGGCUAACUACGUGCCAGCAGCCGCGGUAAU